Molecule: long non-coding RNA, 270 nt
Organism: Saccostrea cuccullata (small rock oyster)
Lineage: Eukaryota; Metazoa; Mollusca; Bivalvia; Ostreida; Ostreidae
Exons: 3
Source: RefSeq, a predicted model, not a curated record
ACCACCACUAACCUGGAUCCAGUACGUCCUGGCACCUCUUCUGGGAUACAUGGAUUUCUCUGUGGAGCCUAGGUGUGAAUUCCUGGGACCCUACUUUAAAUAUCGUGUGUACAAAUAUGUAGUCACUCGAGUGAUGAAGUUGAUCUGGAGAUUCUUCCUAAAGAAACGAACUAGCUGGUAUCGACACAACAAGCUCGUGUUUACAGCGUUUUUGGAGUUCCUGUCUUGCCUUAUUACGUUGGUUUUACCCCUGUAUAAAAUCUAUUUUUG